AGAGUUGAUCCUGGCUUAGAACGAACGCUGGCGGCGUGCCUAACACAUGCAAGUCGAGCGAGAAAGCUCCUCGGGAGUGAGUAAAGCGGCGCACGGGUGAGUAACACGUGGGUAAUCUGCCCUUAGGUGUGGGAUAACCCGGGGGAAACUCGGGCUAAUACCGCAUAAGACCACGUUGCGAGAGCAACGCGAGAAAAGCGGGGGAUCUUUCGGGACCUCGCGCCAAAGGAUGAGCCCGCGGCCCAUCAGGUAGUUGGCGGGGUAAAUGCCCACCAAGCCAAAGACGGGUAGCUGGUCUGAGAGGAUGAUCAGCCACACUGGAACUGAGAUACGGUCCAGACUCCUACGGGAGGCAGCAGUGGGGAAUAUUGCGCAAUGGGGGCAACCCUGACGCAGCAACGCCGCGUGAGCGAAUGAAGGUCUUCGGAUUGUAAAGCUCUGUCAGUGGGAAAGAUGGGACAUCCGGCGAAUACCCGGUAUGUUUUGACGGUACCCACAAAGGAAGCACCGGCUAACUCUGUGCCAGCCGCCGC
Molecule: ribosomal RNA, 533 nt
Filed under: uncultured bacterium
Lineage: Bacteria
Description: bacterial SSU rRNA
Rfam family: Bacterial small subunit ribosomal RNA
Source: RNAcentral